RNAcentral lists this long non-coding RNA (7657 nucleotides) under Lactuca sativa (garden lettuce). RNAcentral describes it as "long non-coding RNA (LSAT_LNC004585)". Lineage: Eukaryota; Viridiplantae; Streptophyta; Magnoliopsida; Asterales; Asteraceae. The record is from RNAcentral.
AGGUCUAACAAGAGACUUAGUGCACAAGUCUGUAAUCGGGAUGGGAUUAAAGUCCAUUUAAUUUUGUAAUGAUGAGACUGUUGGAUUAGUGUCUAAGUCCAUAACUAUUUUGGUAUGUACUUGACCCGAUGGUGCAUGGUCCUUUUAGGUUGCCUUCACCGAAGCAACUUGAUAGGAUGAAUUAUGGAGAGAAAGGAUUAAAUAUGAUUUAUUAAUAUAUUAUGAGAAUAAUAUAUUAAAGGAGAAAUCAUAUUGUUUAAUUAAUAUUAGUCAAUAAUUAAUUGGUAAUUAGUUUUGUGACUAAAAGAGAUUAAUUAAAUUUAAGGGACUGGAAUUGUAAUUAUAAGAUAAUUGCAAUUUGGGCCAUGGAUUGCCUUUUAUUAUAAAGGUGGACGAAUUCUAAUGGGGAAGCCCAUAUGAAGUCGUCCAAGGCUUUAAGAAAGGGCUCCAUGGGUUGCUUAGGGCUUAAGAAACCAAAUUAGGGUUUCCUUGUUAGAUAACCCUAAUAGCCUCACUAUAUAUAGAACCCUUAAGGCUCAAAAACGUGGGGAACUUCUUUUCUAGGGUUAGAACACGUUUUGGGCAGCCUCCAUCCUCUCUCCUCUUCAUCCUCUUGCUUAUGGUGUUUGUAAGCCAUUAGAGGAGUGACACUUGUGACUCUAAGCCUUCCAAAGUCAAUUCAAGGAGGAAUUGGGAUUGUUAUUGCUACAUAACAAUCAAGGUAAUAUCUUAAACCUAAUUAUAUGUUAAUAUUGAUUUCCAUAUGCUAGAAUUAGGGUUUAUAGUCUUGGAUUCAAAGCAUGUACAAUAGAGAAACCUAGAUCCAAGCAUUAGGGUUUGUAUGAGCACAUAGGAUGUCUUAUGACCAAAACCCAUCAGUGGUAUCAGAGCCUAGACUGGUUUCAAUUGUAUUGAUGCAUUACAUGUUCAAAAAAUUCAAUUUUUUGGUUUCUGGAGGCUGGACUCGCCGAGUCCAUAGCUGAACUCGCCGAGUCCAUGCAGACUCGACGAGUCCAAGCCUGACUCGACGAGUCAACUCGUCAGAUGGAGGGUAUUUCGGGAUUUCUUGCUGUUUUUGCUUAUGGAUAGUUACCUUAUCAUGUUAGAUCAAUAUUAAUCCGAUUAUAUGAUAUAUUUGACUAUAUUUUUGAUCUAAUUGAAGAUAUUUAUCAAUUAAUAAGAUAAUUGUUUCCUUAUGUGAUAAUUGAUUAAUUAUUUUGAUUAAAUUGAUAAAUUGUUUUGCAAGAAAUCAUUAAAUAAAUCAAAUAUGGAUAAUUAUGUGAUUAAAUGUUAAUUUAGAUUAUUUGUUAUUUGAUCCUUGUUGUUAUGAAAAGUUUCAUAUUUUCCCCUUUAGGUUUUAUAGUUUAAAUUUGAACCCAAAAGUUUUGUUGUUUUGAAAUUUAAAUAGUUGAAACCCUAAUGUUUUGAAAAAGGUUUCAAAACUUGCCCUCAAGUUUUGGAAUUUAAAUUUUGAUUAAAUAGUUUAAUUUUGAUGUAUAUUUAAAUUCUAAACCCUAAUGUGUUGAAAUGUUUCAAAACUUGCCCUCAAGUUUUGGAAUUUAAAAGUUGAUUAAAAGUUUAAUUAGGAAUGUUAAAUUCUAAAACUCUAGUAUAGUUUUGAAAAAGUUCAAAUCACACCCUUAUGGUUUUAUUAAUUAAUUAAGGUGUAUAAUUAAAAGAGGUUUAAUAAAUCCAUAAAAGUUUAGGUUUACAAUUUAAUUGAAUUAAAAGUAUAAUUGUUAAAUUUGACCACCUAGUAUUUUAAAAGUGUAAAAUACACCCUAUACUAUAUAUAACAUUAAAAGUCUAACAUUAUAUAUAUGUAUGAGUAAAAGUCAGUCUUACCGUUAGUAGGCCUCAUUCACGAAGCUGGUCUAUAAGGGGUGUUUAAGGAAAUUGCCUAUAAAAUGGCGAUUGAAUGGGUAUCCACUCUUACCCACCGCACUCUUGACUAGUGGAGGGUCGUUAGCCGAACGGGUAGGAUAGGACGAAACCUUCCAUUAUAAGUAUAAUGAAGUAUAAAAGUAACUAAAUGUUUUCAUAAAAUUCCCAAUCUUAGUUACUUAGGCAAAAGUGAAUUGAUGCAAUUCCAUGAAAUUACACUUUGUGCCCUUGCGAAGACGUUAGUGGAGCGUGUGUGGUUUACCGGCACACUAAAUGGUUCUAAGCAAAGGUAGCAAAGGGUGACUCAAUGUUUGUCAUAGUUCGGUGGAGCGUGUGUGGUUUACCGGCACAUCGAAUAGGUGACUGUAACAUGUGAGGGCACCAUGUAAGUUUGCAUGGUUAUUCACACCCGCUUUGUGAUCCUCGGCAUCCCAGUCACAAACAAGAGGGGCAUAUCGAGAUUUAAACAUGCCAUUGAAAGUUCAAUGAAUCUCAAAGGAUCUAGGAGUUUUCAUAGAUUUAAAACUUAAAUUUCUUUUUCGUUUUUCGUGGUGGAAAUUAGUGAAUCGUCAUUCACUUACCUUCAAAUAUUCUGCAAUUAGGGUUACGGCAUCCCUCUCCCGAGUUGUAGAAUAUUGUGUUGGGUCCUAGCCUUAGUAUCUCAUUUGGGUGAUUUACUAAGGACUCAAUCAAUCAACUAACUUGAAUUCGUUUUCUCCCGUUUUGUAGAUGUCAAAGUUCGACAACUAUGGUCUUCCCAAAUCCCGUGGAACAAGCAUUCCACAUGAAGAUGAUAUUCCACGAUUCGAUCGAGGAACAAGAAAUCAUGCUUCACUUCCUCCACCUCCUCCAAUUAUUCUCCCUAACCCACAAGUUCAAAGGCUUGAAAAGUUCAAGAUCACUCAAGCCCUUUUGGCAAGUAAACAUAAAGAAGGAAAGUCGGUGUGUGCACACGUCCUAGGGAUGAAGUCACACAUUGAUAGGUUAAGAAUGUUGGGAUCCGUUGUCUGUGAGGAAAUGGCUGUUGAUUGGGUUCUUCAGUCACUUCCUAACUCAUAUAGUGAGUUCGUAAGAGAGUACUAUAUGAUGAACCGCGACGUGACCCUUAUAGAUCUCACCUAUAUGCUUAUUGCUGCUGAAUCAGCAAUGGUUUGGCGCAAUAGAAAAGCAAAGUUGAUUGGUGAAUCUGCCUUCAAGACCUCUAUGGAUAUAGACAAUGGCAACGAAAGACAUGCUAUGAUCGAAAAGUUUGAUCAUAAGAGAAAGGCAAUGUCUGAAGUAGUUCCAUGUCAUGUUCCAAAAGAGUCAAUUUGCUUUUAUUGCCAAGAGAAAGGGCAUUGGAGACGAAGCUGCCCCAUUUACCUAAGAGAUCUAAGAGAUGGGAGAGUCGAAACGUAUGGCUCUAAUAUAGGUAAAAUCCAUUAACUAACUCUUUUAAGCUUCUAUUCUAGAUUCUUAAUACAUAAUGUGAUAAGAUUACAAUUGAUGUUUUGUAGGAUCGAAGAAAAGAAAGGAAGCUUAAGGGAAGAAGUGAGCAGAAUCUAACCGUGAAGGAAUGGAUUUCGAUCGCAUUUCUCGAAGAUUAGAUUCUUGAGCUACUACUUAGAGUUAGAAUUAGAUUGCUAAGAAAGAUGUAUUAGCAUAAGUUUUUCAAUGAAUUGCAUUGUAAGGACAAAUUUUUCCGCAAUAAAAUAAAUUUUGAUUUUAAAUUUUAUUUAUUUAUCCUUACAAUGGCGUGUAUGAAAAAUUGAUGUUAAAAUGUUUCUAUUAUUAGCAAUAAUGGAUUUGGUUCUUAUUAUGUUAUUUAUGGAAAGUCGAGAAUUUACCAAAUAGGGAGAGUUUCUCAUCGCCCAAGUUUCAAUUGGACAGAAACUUGGAAUCAUGCAACUUGGUUGCACGAUGAAUGAGAAAUUUCAUAUUUGGAAAUUAGACUAAUUCAUUGACAAAGUGUCAAGUGAAGGACUAGGAGAUCGAGUACACAAAGUUGCGUGUUGAUCAAGUCCACCAUAAGAGUAACAAAGAUAUUCGUCAUGAUUUACUAAAGGUUUAGUAAAUAUGAUUAUACUUAUAAGAUUAAGUGUAAUUCUGAAUUGAUUGAAAAGGUUUAAAUCAAUAGCAGAACGAAUAAGAAGAAUCAAGUAGGCAGAAAGAUAAAAGUUUCUCCAUUCUAAGAAGAAGGGAGAGUACCUUUUAUGCUUUAUGAUAGGUCUUAAUGAUUAAGAACCAUAUCUCAAUUGAUCCUCUAAGUGAGUCUUAGUACAAUUGUAUGUCUAAGAAGAGGAAUCAAGAAUUGAAGAAAUGGUUAAAUCAAUAAGUCAAUCAUACUUCGUUCCAAUAACAAGUCUUAAAGUUAAGAUUGUGACAUUGAGUGAAAGGUAUUAAGAAGGUUUAUAACAUUCAUUAAAUGUGGAAAGUUGUGAUGUCUUGGAUAAGACAAAGACCAACUAGGACCAAUUUAUGAAGUGUUUUGAUAAAAGCUACACUAACUCUUGAAUAUUUGUUUGUCAAGAAAUGGUUAUUGACAAGAGAAUCUUAUAUGUCAAGGAGUCAGUGGGAGUCUUAAUGGUCUUGAAAGGUUUCAAGAACAAAUCAAAUAAACCUUAUCGAUCAUCACUAGCACACGAGUUGAGGUUUACAACCUAUCGUGUUGACAUUAUUUUGAUUCUGUGCCAAUCCAAUCGAGUUAAUUAUGCAUGUGAGUUCUAUGAGUUCUCAUUUUGAACGCAUAAAAGGCAAAGCACCUUAAUCAAUGAAAGGUACAUUGAUAGGAAAAGGUGAGCUGCUUAACUACUUGGAAGACAUGGUGGGCAGCUGUGCUACCAUAAGGCAAGAAAUCAAGAUUAAGAAAGUUCGGUCCAUAUGAGUUUGAAUUUGUCGUAAACUUUGGUUUUAACAAAUUCACAUGGAUAGGAACACAUACACCGUUUAAAUCUAAGUGUCAUAAGAUUUCCUCCUUCAUGAAAAUGAUUGUGAGGAAAUGCUUUCACUAAGAAAGAUUUUAAGAAGAUAGUGAUUGUAAAAUUGCAUUCUCGAAUUCAAUUAUGGUUACGGCAUCCCUUUCCAUAAUUUGAAUUGUGAGGUUUGGCAAUUAGUCUUAAUUGUUUAGACACACAUAUGAACUAUCGAAGGCAAAGGUGUAUAAGUUCAAGAAGCCUUGAUAAAAGAUUAUCAAAGCACUAAGUAUUAGAAACAUGGACUUAAGAAAUUCAAUAGGUAUUGUUUUUCUGAAAGUUAAGAUGUUUAUGAAUACAUGUCGAAGCUAGUGGGAGCAUAAGUGUUAUGUUUUAUAAUAAUCAUCAUGAUAGUGGGAGCAUAAAUGUUAUGAUUGUAUGAUUAUUAAGGCACGUAUUGCAAGUUGGCAAUAUUAAUUAUAGAAAACAAGAGUUAUACCUUGCAAAGUCGUAAGGGUUGAAAAGUUGUUUUGCUAUAAUUAAGGGAGAGAAUAUUAUGCUUCAUUUCAAAUCUAAAGGAUUAGGUUGAGAAAUGUUAAUAAAUUUAGUCAAAGGUACAUAGUGUGUUCUUAAAAUUUCGAUUAUGAUUACGGCAUUCCUCUUCACAAUUCGAAUUUUGAGAACAUAGCAAAUAAAACAUUAUGCGUCGUGUCCCAUACGCUUCGGGUAUAGGAUCGAUUGCAAAUGCUUUAAUGUUUGACCAUUCUAAAAUUUUCCAAAUGUCUAGCGCAUUUAGAGGGAAAAAGGACUAGAAUCGGUUUUGACUAAAAUAAUUAAACAACUAUCAAAGGACAAUCCAAAGUUCGACGAGGAUUGGUCGCUUGUGAGUAGUUGGAAGUAUAGUAUUGGAAAAUAUGGAAAUGUUUCCAUAUUGGAUGGACCAUAUCGACAUCAUUACGAAUAGAUAAGAUUCUAUUAAGAAUGAGUUGUCAUAUGGAAAAUAUGGAAGCGUGUCCAUAUUGGGAAUUGAAUAUUGAAAAUCUAUGUCUAGAUUAGAAACUUUUAUGCAAAAGGAUGUUCAAAGGAAUGUACUUUGAGUGAGAGACAUCAUAUCUAAGGAAUUGUCUUGUAACAAUCUCCGAUAGAGGACUUUGUAAUAUCAUUGGCAAUAGUCUUUGUGACUUUGGUGCAGUGACAUUACGAAAGGAUCAUUGCAUAAAAUGUUAGAAUCUAGCAUAUUCUAUAAGUAGCAAGAAUUUGAUAUUCUUUCACUUAUGAAAAAGGAUUUGGAGUUGUGAAAUGAGAAUGAUUGGAAAUGUGUUCAAUUUGAUCUAUUUCACAAAGUAAGAACCAUAGGUAAACAUUGUGUGCAUGCUAGGAGCAUGGGACAAGUGUAAUAAUUCAAGUAAGAAGUUGAUUACCCGAAACGACAAAUAAUGAGUAAUCGAUAUGGUGAUAAAUAAAAGGUGUUUUAUUUAUACUCAAAGGUUUGAGGCCAUAUGGGAUUAGUAUUAUUCUUGUGUUUCACUUUGCAUGUUUUGACUUCCUGAAUAAUUUAAUUGGUUAAGAACAGUCAAAUUAUUCGAACGGGCCACAGUCGUUCAUAUGUUGGAAGUAGGUAUGAAUGAAGACUGUCGUGAAUUGGUGUGUGGAUUGUCUAAAGAGUAUUAGACAUAAGCAAAUGUUUGCUGCAACGUUCAUGAGUGCUUAUGAAUAUGAUUUGAGCAUUGGAUUAAACCCACGCUCACUUGGAUCACUCCAUGAAUUGUAUCACGAGUGAUUGGUGAGACGAUAACAUCUUAUAUUCUUGAAACCGAGAUGUGUGAGUUGUAUCUUGCAAAUCGGUUGCACAUUGAUAAUAUGUAAACGCACUAGUAACUUGGUGUUAUAAAACAUAUUGUUGUGUGUGAUUCGGUGAGUGAGUGCAAGCAAGCAUUGUAUCAAAGUUUAUCCGUUCCUUUUAUCCAAAGUAGGAUAAAAGCGAUAUCUUUGGGCCCCUCGAUGAUUUAGUGAUGACAAACGUAAAUGCUCGGCCGGGCUAGGGCUAAUUUGAUUUGUUCAAUUAGUCAGUCGUCAUAAAUCGGGAAUCGAGAUAUAGUACAAAGAGAAUGAUUUGAAAUCAUAUCUCAUAUGAUAUCUAGAAUGGAGGAAUAUAUGAUCCCUUAUCUAAGGACACGCGUAUCUGAUAGGAUCAGAGUUGACAGCGGCUUUGGAAAGCUACGAUUGCAGAUCAGGAUCUGAAGUCAUACGCAUAAUAGUUAUUAGACUUAUCCAAGUGGGAGACUGUUGGAUUAGUGUCUAAGUCCAUAACUAUUUUGGUAUGUACUUGACCCGAUGGUGCAUGGUCCUUUUGGGUUGCCUUCACCAAAGCAACUUGAUAGGAUGAAUUAUGGAGAGAAAGGAUUAAAUAUGAUUUAUUAAUAUAUUAUGAGAAUAAUAUAUUAAAGGAGAAAUCAUAUUGUUUAAUUAAUAUUAGUCAAUAAUUAAUUGGUAAUUAGUUUUGUGACUAAAAGAGAUUAAUUAAACUUAAGGGACUGGAAUUGUAAUUAUAAGAUAAUUGCAAUUUGGGCCAUGGAUUGCCUUUUAUUAUAAGGUGGACGAAUUCUAAUGGGGAAGCCCAUAUGAAGUCGUCCAAGGCUUUAAGAAAGGGCUCCAUGGGUUGCUUAGGGCUUAAGCAACCAAAUUAGGGUUUCCUUGUUAGAUAAACCUAAUAGCCUCACUAUAUAUAGAACCCUUAAGGCUCAAAAACGUGGGGAACUUCUUUUCUAGGGUUAGAACACGUUUUGGGCAGCCUCCAUCCUCUCUCCUCUUCAUCCUCUUGCUUAUGGUGUUUGUGAACCAUUAGAGGAGUGACACUUGUGACUCUAAGCCUUCCAAAGUCA